Bradysia coprophila is the source of this 290-nucleotide long non-coding RNA. Lineage: Eukaryota; Metazoa; Arthropoda; Insecta; Diptera; Sciaridae. The record is from RefSeq and is a predicted model, not a curated record.
UGGCUCCUGUGAAAAGUCUGUUCAACAAAUAUAUCUUAUGAGAUCCGACAACUUUCAGAACAGAAAAAAGGAAAUCAAACAAAAAAUGAUUAAUCUAAAAUGAUCGGUAUAAUGUACAUAAUUCACAUAUUUGACAAUAAAAUCUCAUCACAAAAAAAAAACAAAAUUGUAAAAACUGAAACACUAUACAGGAAGUUGAAUUAUUUUAUUUUACCAUUUUUUUAUAUUUUUCUACCCCAUUGUCACUAUAUUGUCAUUGAACGUUGCAUAGUAUUGUUAUGUAUAUUACG